GUACACAAAAAUGCACAUGCUGUGAGCUCGAUGAGUAGGGCGGGACACGUGGUAUCCUGUCUGAAUAUGGGGGGACCAUCCUCCAAGGCUAAAUACUCCUGACUGACCGAUAGUGAACCAGUACCGUGAGGGAAAGGCGAAAAGAACCCCGGCGAGGGGAGUGAAAAAGAACCUGAAACCGUGUACGUACAAGCAGUGGGAGCACGCUUAGGCGUGUGACUGCGUACCUUUUGUAUAAUGGGUCAGCGACUUAUAUUCUGUAGCAAGGUUAACCGAAUAGGGGAGCCGAAGGGAAACCGAGUCUUAACUGGGCGUUAAGUUGCAGGGUAUAGACCCGAAACCCGGUGAUCUAGCCAUGGGCAGGUUGAAGGUUGGGUAACACUAACUGGAGGACCGAACCGACUAAUGUUGAAAAAUUAGCGGAUGACUUGUGGCUGGGGGUGAAAGGCCAAUCAAACCGGGAGAUAGCUGGUUCUCCCCGAAAGCUAUUUAGGUAGCGCCUCGUGAAUUCAUCUCCGGGGGUAGAGCACUGUUUCGGCAAGGGGGUCAUCCCGACUUACCAACCCGAUGCAAACUGCGAAUACCGGAGAAUGUUAUCACGGGAGACACACGGCGGGUGCUAACGUCCGUCGUGAAGAGGGAAACAACCCAGACCGCCAGCUAAGGUCCCAAAGUCAUGGUUAAGUGGGAAACGAUGUGGGAAGGCCCAGACAGCCAGGAUGUUGGCUUAGAAGCAGCCAUCAUUUAAAGAAAGCGUAAUAGCUCACUGGUCGAGUCGGCCUGCGCGGAAGAUGUAACGGGGCUAAACCAUGCACCGAAGCUGCGGCAGCGACACUGUGUGUUGUUGGGUAGGGGAGCGUUCUGUAAGCCUGCGAAGGUGUGCUGUGAGGCAUGCUGGAGGUAUCAGAAGUGCGAAUGCUGACAUAAGUAACGAUAAAGCGGGUGAAAAGCCCGCUCGCCGGAAGACCAAGGGUUCCUGUCCAACGUUAAUCGGGGCAGGGUGAGUCGACCCCUAAGGCGAGGCCGAAAGGCGUAGUCGAUGGGAAACAGGUUAAUAUUCCUGUACUUGGUGUUACUGCGAAGGGGGGACGGAGAAGGCUAUGUUGGCCGGGCGACGGUUGUCCCGGUUUAAGCGUGUAGGCUGGUUUUCCAGGCAAAUCCGGAAAAUCAAGGCUGAGGCGUGAUGACGAGGCACUACGGUGCUGAAGCAACAAAUGCCCUGCUUCCAGGAAAAGCCUCUAAGCAUCAGGUAACAUCAAAUCGUACCCCAAACCGACACAGGUGGUCAGGUAGAGAAUACCAAGGCGCUUGAGAGAACUCGGGUGAAGGAACUAGGCAAAAUGGUGCCGUAACUUCGGGAGAAGGCACGCUGAUAUGUAGGUGAAGUCCCUCGCGGAUGGAGCUGAAAUCAGUCGAAGAUACCAGCUGGCUGCAACUGUUUAUUAAAAACACAGCACUGUGCAAACACGAAAGUGGACGUAUACGGUGUGACGCCUGCCCGGUGCCGGAAGGUUAAUUGAUGGGGUCAGCGCAAGCGAAGCUCUUGAUCGAAGCCCCGGUAAACGGCGGCCGUAACUAUAACGGUCCUAAGGUAGCGAAAUUCCUUGUCGGGUAAGUUCCGACCUG
This 1626-nucleotide ribosomal RNA is filed under the name Escherichia coli. Its description in RNAcentral is "partial 23S ribosomal RNA". It matches the Rfam family "Bacterial large subunit ribosomal RNA", at positions 375 to 1990 of the family's 2925-position model. The record is from RNAcentral. Lineage: Bacteria; Pseudomonadati; Pseudomonadota; Gammaproteobacteria; Enterobacterales; Enterobacteriaceae.